Molecule: long non-coding RNA, 157 nt
Filed under: Dromaius novaehollandiae (emu)
Lineage: Eukaryota; Metazoa; Chordata; Aves; Casuariiformes; Dromaiidae
Description: lncRNA (ENSDNVG00000018500.1)
Source: RNAcentral
AGGUUGGAAGCGAUAAAGGCUGCUGAAGUUAAAUAAAGGCUUAUUCCCGUCGAAGAUCCUGCUGGAGCUCUGAUGAAGCAUUUGGUGUGGAGCAGCUUUUGGCACUUGCAGUUUUCCGAUGUCCUUAUUUUCAUGAGGGCAAGCAAGAAAAGAAAGC